CUAACCCAGCAACCUCCACUGACUCAGCAACCGGAGGAACACACUCUGUUGAGUUUUGGUAGGUGCCGGUGUGGUGGGUCUGGCAUGCAUGAAAACCUCCACCAAAAGGAGGGAGCUGUCUGUAACCCGGGUGAUAAAACUCUAGUUAUAAAUAUAAAAUAAAUAAAUCCUCCAUUCUCGUUUUCCAUAACUGUUCUGUCAAAUACGUAAUGACGUCAUACGUCACGUGACGGUGCACGGCCAAUCGGGUUGUUUUAUACCUGGAAGGCACUCGCGGGCCGGGAGCUUUGAGAGGGGGACACAUUGGGAAUAUUUGCUGCAAGGAGUCAACUACCGGAGCCGCCAGGCGUCGUGUGGAGUCGCGGGUGUUGUUUAAACAAGGAACUGGCCAGGUGAUGGCGAGCUAGACCCAAAGAAUUCUAGGCCCACACCGCCUAAAGAACCCUGGAGCUUGAACUGAAGUGAACUGAACUGGACCUCCUGCACCUCCUCCACCUGGUUGGGCUGGUAGGAACCUCCUUUAAGGCAGCCGUCCCUUCCUUUUCAUUCUUUGCCUCGCAACUAAUCGUUCAAACCUAACAAACUUGCAAAUUCACCCCCCUUCCAUGGACACCUACCUCUCCUUCUGGACACCCAACUCAUGAACUAUUGUUGCGUUAAAUGCCAUCUCGGCAAAGACUUUGAACUCAUUGCGUUGUGUGAAGUCCUACGUGGACACUCGAUAUCGUACAUCAGGUUGUAACUUGAAGGUGAUGUUUAUUGUGAAUUUAUUGUGUUUUUCCAUAUGAAUGGCCAUUCGAUUUAUUGUUAAAUGGUUGUAUGUCAUUUUGUCUAAAUAUAAUGUACUGGUACCACUUAAUACUUAA
This is a long non-coding RNA of Acanthochromis polyacanthus (spiny chromis), 866 nucleotides long. RefSeq lists it as uncharacterized. The transcript is spliced from 3 exons. The record is from RefSeq and is a predicted model, not a curated record. Lineage: Eukaryota; Metazoa; Chordata; Actinopteri; Pomacentridae.